ACGCUCGACACCUACGGGAGCAGCAGUGGGGAAUAUUGGGGCAAUGGGCGCAAGCCUGACCCAGCAACGCCGCGUG
RNAcentral lists this ribosomal RNA (76 nucleotides) under uncultured bacterium. Its description in RNAcentral is "partial 16S ribosomal RNA". The record is from RNAcentral.